UUAGGAAUCUUGCGCAAUGGGGGAAACCCUGACGCAGCGACGCCGCGUGAAGGAUGACGGCCUUCGGGUUGUAAACUUCUUUUAUCAGGGAAGAAGAUCUGACGGUACCUGAUGAAUAAGCCCCGGCUAACUACGUGCCAGCAGCCGCGGUAAUACGUAGGGGGCGAGCGUUGUCCGAAUUUAUUGGGCGUAAAGCGCGCGUAGGCGGACCUUUAAGUUGGUGGUGAAAUCCCGGGGCUCAACCCCGGAACUGCCUCCAAAACUGGGGGUCUUGAGGUAUGGAGAGGGAAGUGGAAUUCCUGGUGUAGCGGUGAAAUGCGUAGAUAUCAGGAGGAACACCCGUGGCGAAGGCGGCUUCCUGGCCAUAUCCUGACGCUGAGGUGCGAAAGCUAGGGGAGCGAACGGG
RNAcentral lists this ribosomal RNA (406 nucleotides) under uncultured prokaryote. RNAcentral's name for it is "bacterial SSU rRNA". It matches the Rfam family "Bacterial small subunit ribosomal RNA", at positions 355 to 776 of the family's 1533-position model. The record is from RNAcentral. RNAcentral also lists the same sequence under 1 other name.